GCUGAUGUUGCUGCCAUCUUGUAAAUCUUGUGGGAAAAGAGAGAUCUAAAGAAGAGGUUGGUGUAUGAAUAAGAAACACGGAAUUGGAUUGGUGAAUUUAAGAGGAAAUGGUUUGGGGAGCUAAUGGGUUAAAAUCUCCGCCAAUGGGCCUAGGAGGAAUCUGCCUUUUCAACAACUACUUCUCAAGCUAUCACACCCGACCUAUCUAUCACAGCAAAUCAACCUCCUCUCUCUUUUACUGUGAUAGAUAG
RNAcentral lists this unclassified non-coding RNA (251 nucleotides) under Hevea brasiliensis (rubber tree). Lineage: Eukaryota; Viridiplantae; Streptophyta; Magnoliopsida; Malpighiales; Euphorbiaceae. The record is from RNAcentral.